RNAcentral lists this transfer RNA (95 nucleotides) under Dipodomys ordii (Ord's kangaroo rat). It matches the Rfam family "tRNA". From Rfam's summary of the family: Transfer RNA (tRNA) molecules are approximately 80 nucleotides in length. Their secondary structure includes four short double-helical elements and three loops (D, anti-codon, and T loops). Further hydrogen bonds mediate the characteristic L-shaped molecular structure. tRNAs have two regions of fundamental functional importance: the anti-codon, which is responsible for specific mRNA codon recognition, and the 3' end, to which the tRNAs corresponding amino acid is attached (by aminoacyl-tRNA synthetases). tRNAs cope with the degeneracy of the genetic code in two manners: having more than one tRNA (with a specific anti-codon) for a particular amino acid; and 'wobble' base-pairing, i.e. permitting non-standard base-pairing at the 3rd anti-codon position. The record is from Rfam by way of RNAcentral. Lineage: Eukaryota; Metazoa; Chordata; Mammalia; Rodentia; Heteromyidae.
GGUGGCUCAGUGGUAGAGCGCUUGCCUUGCAUGCAUGAGGCCCUAGAGCGCUUGCCUUACAUGCAUGAGGCCCUGGGUUCGAUUCCCCAGCACCA